GGGUUGUGAGGUUAAGCGACUAAGCGUACACGGUGGAUGCCCUGGCAGUCAGAGGCGAUGAAGGACGUGCUAAUCUGCGAUAAGCGUCGGUAAGGUGAUAUGAACCGUUAUAACCGGCGAUUUCCGAAUGGGGAAACCCAGUGUGAUUCGUCACACUAUCAUUAACUGAAUCCAUAGGUUAAUGAGGCGAACCGGGGGAACUGAAACAUCUAAGUACCCCGAGGAAAAGAAAUCAACCGAGAUUCCCCCAGUAGCGGCGAGCGAACGGGGAGGAGCCCAGAGCCUGAAUCAGUGUGUGUGUUAGUGGAAGCGUCUGGAAAGGCGCGCGAUACAGGGUGACAGCCCCGUACACAAAAAUGCACAUGCUGUGAGCUCGAUGAGUAGGGCGGGACACGUGGUAUCCUGUCUGAAUAUGGGGGGACCAUCCUCCAAGGCUAAAUACUCCUGACUGACCGAUAGUGAACCAGUACCGUGAGGGAAAGGCGAAAAGAACCCCGGCGAGGGGAGUGAAAAAGAACCUGAAACCGUGUACGUACAAGCAGUGGGAGCCUCUUUAUGGGGUGACUGCGUACCUUUUGUAUAAUGGGUCAGCGACUUAUAUUCUGUAGCAAGGUUAACCGAAUAGGGGAGCCGAAGGGAAACCGAGUCUUAACUGGGCGUUAAGUUGCAGGGUAUAGACCCGAAACCCGGUGAUCUAGCCAUGGGCAGGUUGAAGGUUGGGUAACACUAACUGGAGGACCGAACCGACUAAUGUUGAAAAAUUAGCGGAUGACUUGUGGCUGGGGGUGAAAGGCCAAUCAAACCGGGAGAUAGCUGGUUCUCCCCGAAAGCUAUUUAGGUAGCGCCUCGUGAAUUCAUCUCCGGGGGUAGAGCACUGUUUCGGCAAGGGGGUCAUCCCGACUUACCAACCCGAUGCAAACUGCGAAUACCGGAGAAUGUUAUCACGGGAGACACACGGCGGGUGCUAACGUCCGUCGUGAAGAGGGAAACAACCCAGACCGCCAGCUAAGGUCCCAAAGUCAUGGUUAAGUGGGAAACGAUGUGGGAAGGCCCAGACAGCCAGGAUGUUGGCUUAGAAGCAGCCAUCAUUUAAAGAAAGCGUAAUAGCUCACUGGUCGAGUCGGCCUGCGCGGAAGAUGUAACGGGGCUAAACCAUGCACCGAAGCUGCGGCAGCGACGCUUAUGCGUUGUUGGGUAGGGGAGCGUUCUGUAAGCCUGCGAAGGUGUACUGUGAGGUAUGCUGGAGGUAUCAGAAGUGCGAAUGCUGACAUAAGUAACGAUAAAGCGGGUGAAAAGCCCGCUCGCCGGAAGACCAAGGGUUCCUGUCCAACGUUAAUCGGGGCAGGGUGAGUCGACCCCUAAGGCGAGGCCGAAAGGCGUAGUCGAUGGGAAACAGGUUAAUAUUCCUGUACUUGGUGUUACUGCGAAGGGGGGACGGAGAAGGCUAUGUUGGCCGGGCGACGGUUGUCCCGGUUUAAGCGUGUAGGCUGAUUUUCCAGGUAAAUCCGGAAAAUCAAGGCUGAGGCGUGAUGACGAGGCACUACGGUGCUGAAGCAACAAAUGCCCUGCUUCCAGGAAAAGCCUCUAAGCAUCAGGUAACAUCAAAUCGUACCCCAAACCGACACAGGUGGUCAGGUAGAGAAUACCAAGGCGCUUGAGAGAACUCGGGUGAAGGAACUAGGCAAAAUGGUGCCGUAACUUCGGGAGAAGGCACGCUGAUACGUAGGUGAAGUCCCUUGCGGAUGGAGCUGAAAUCAGUCGAAGAUACCAGCUGGCUGCAACUGUUUAUUAAAAACACAGCACUGUGCAAACACGAAAGUGGACGUAUACGGUGUGACGCCUGCCCGGUGCCGGAAGGUUAAUUGAUGGGGUUAGCGGUAACGCGAAGCUCUUGAUCGAAGCCCCGGUAAACGGCGGCCGUAACUAUAACGGUCCUAAGGUAGCGAAAUUCCUUGUCGGGUAAGUUCCGACCUGCACGAAUGGCGUAAUGAUGGCCAGGCUGUCUCCACCCGAGACUCAGUGAAAUUGAACUCGCUGUGAAGAUGCAGUGUACCCGCGGCAAGACGGAAAGACCCCGUGAACCUUUACUAUAGCUUGACACUGAACAUUGAGCCUUGAUGUGUAGGAUAGGUGGGAGGCUUUGAAGUGUGGACGCCAGUCUGCAUGGAGCCGACCUUGAAAUACCACCCUUUAAUGUUUGAUGUUCUAACGUUGGCCCCUAAUCGGGGUUGCGGACAGUGUCUGGUGGGUAGUUUGACUGGGGCGGUCUCCUCCUAAAGAGUAACGGAGGAGCACGAAGGUUGGCUAAUCCUGGUCGGACAUCAGGAGGUUAGUGCAAUGGCAUAAGCCAGCUUGACUGCGAGCGUGACGGCGCGAGCAGGUGCGAAAGCAGGUCAUAGUGAUCCGGUGGUUCUGAAUGGAAGGGCCAUCGCUCAACGGAUAAAAGGUACUCCGGGGAUAACAGGCUGAUACCGCCCAAGAGUUCAUAUCGACGGCGGUGUUUGGCACCUCGAUGUCGGCUCAUCACAUCCUGGGGCUGAAGUAGGUCCCAAGGGUAUGGCUGUUCGCCAUUUAAAGUGGUACGCGAGCUGGGUUUAGAACGUCGUGAGACAGUUCGGUCCCUAUCUGCCGUGGGCGCUGGAGAACUGAGGGGGGCUGCUCCUAGUACGAGAGGACCGGAGUGGACGCAUCACUGGUGUUCGGGUUGUCAUGCCAAUGGCACUGCCCGGUAGCUAAAUGCGGAAGAGAUAAGUGCUGAAAGCAUCUAAGCACGAAACUUGCCCCGAGAUGAGUUCUCCCUGACUCCUUGAGAGUCCUGAAGGAACGUUGAAGACGACGACGUUGAUAGGCCGGGUGUGUAAGCGCAGCGAUGCGUUGAGCUAACCGGUACUAAUGAACCGUGAGGCUUAACCUUACAACGCCGAAG
Molecule: ribosomal RNA, 2926 nt
Filed under: Escherichia coli
Lineage: Bacteria; Pseudomonadati; Pseudomonadota; Gammaproteobacteria; Enterobacterales; Enterobacteriaceae
Description: bacterial LSU rRNA
Rfam family: Bacterial large subunit ribosomal RNA
Source: RNAcentral